RNAcentral lists this ribosomal RNA (394 nucleotides) under uncultured Agrobacterium sp. RNAcentral's name for it is "bacterial SSU rRNA". It matches the Rfam family "Bacterial small subunit ribosomal RNA", at positions 338 to 749 of the family's 1533-position model. Lineage: Bacteria; Pseudomonadati; Pseudomonadota; Alphaproteobacteria; Hyphomicrobiales; Rhizobiaceae. The record is from RNAcentral.
CCUACGGGAGGCAGCAGUGGGGAAUAUUGGACAAUGGGCGCAAGCCUGAUCCAGCCAUGCCGCGUGAGUGAUGAAGGUCUUAGGAUUGUAAAGCUCUUUCACCGGUGAAGAUAAUGACGGUAACCGGAGAAGAAGCCCCGGCUAACUUCGUGCCAGCAGCCGCGGUAAUACGAAGGGGGCUAGCGUUGUUCGGAAUUACUGGGCGUAAAGCGCACGUAGGCGGAUAUUUAAGUCAGGGGUGAAAUCCCAGAGCUCAACUCUGGAACUGCCUUUGAUACUGGGUAUCUUGAGUAUGGAAGAGGUGAGUGGAAUUCCGAGUGUAGAGGUGAAAUUCGUAGAUAUUCGGAGGAACACCAGUGGCGAAGGCGGCUCACUGGUCCAUUACUGACGCUGA